UGGUUCGCAAUAGCAACCAUGCUAAGCGCACGAUUACCCGUUAAUGCAUGCCUAGUUCUCGUUUGUUGAUGCCACCACCAUGUUGUCUUACAUGUCACGAACCCAUUUCUGACUGACAAUCUUAAGCUCAGUCUCUAUACGUCAAACCCAAAUCGUUAUAUCAAAACCUAAAGGUCAUGACCCAAAUGCGAUCACGUAAAAAGCAAAAAAGGACAUAUCUAACUGAACUUUAUAACAAAUAAGAACAUGGGCCGCCUGAUGAACCUGUAAUUGAUUCGCAAUGAAAACAGCUUAAUUUCUUUGUUGGAUUGCUUUAUUAUUUUUGCCGACCAUGCAUUAUCAACUGAGAAUAACUUUGUAUGUCAAUUGCAUGAUGCGACGAAACAAAAGUGGACGGAGCAUUAGUACAAUGACAAGUCGGUACGCGGCUGUACGUGUGGUGGCCAUUAGCAAGAAUCAAUUCUCCUUCCACCC
RNAcentral lists this long non-coding RNA (474 nucleotides) under Sorghum bicolor (sorghum). RNAcentral describes it as "long non-coding RNA (SBIC_LNC013478)". The record is from RNAcentral. Lineage: Eukaryota; Viridiplantae; Streptophyta; Magnoliopsida; Poales; Poaceae.